GUAAUUGAAGUAAUAAUCAAACAAUGUGUUAGAUACAGAGGCAAGGGAAAAAGGCAAGUCCGAACAUGUCUGGACUUGCCCCAGAGCUGUGUCCCAAUUAAGGAUCUGAAACUAAGAUGGUCACGAGGAAAGUAAGGGAGGGAAGCAGGGUAUAUGUGGGAAUGGCUGGGACUUUCCGAUGAGGUAGUUGCAUGCUCAAGAGGUCACGUACGCCUUAUAGAGGCAUGGGUUGAAAGGGUAUAUAAGGCCAAGGGGACCAAGAAGAGAGGUCUGGCACCCUGGAGCCAUGGGGAAGUUGAGACUUCGCACCGCCAGAAGGGACAAGACCCCUUGACCCUCAGCCCUGGUUCCUGAUUUGGCUGCCUUACUCUGCCUCAACCCUAGGAUCUCAAAGUUGCAGCAACAGACUUGGAGAAAAGACAAAGGUGACUGAGUGAUGAAGAUCUGACAUGUUCGAAGGACAACAGCCAGGCACUCGUGAUGUCCAUCCGCUGGUUGGAGCCAACAGCCUUCGUGGAGAUGUGCUGUCCAACACUCCUGGUGUCAGACUUCAUCUGCACCUUGGAUCCAUCUCUUUUGAUCUGGAAUCACAGGAAAACAUCCCUGUAAAACACAAGUCUUCUUGAAGGAUGAAGACUACUGUACAGACACAUUGCAAAGUGACAUCAAGAUCCUGACCCCCUGCUCCCUGCUGGAGGGCAAGAAAUGUUUUUUUUGCUGUCAAGUUGUCAACAUAACCCAGUAAAUUCUAAAUGUAGGAGUGAUAUAUAAAACAAAA
Xiphophorus maculatus (southern platyfish) is the source of this 778-nucleotide long non-coding RNA. RefSeq lists it as uncharacterized. The transcript has 3 exons. Lineage: Eukaryota; Metazoa; Chordata; Actinopteri; Cyprinodontiformes; Poeciliidae. The record is from RefSeq and is a predicted model, not a curated record.